Molecule: ribosomal RNA, 1809 nt
Filed under: uncultured eukaryote
Lineage: Eukaryota
Description: SSU rRNA
Rfam family: Eukaryotic small subunit ribosomal RNA
Source: RNAcentral
AACCUGGUUGAUCCUGCCAGUAGUCCUAUGCUUGUCUCAAAGAUUAAGCCAUGCAUGUCUAAGUAUAAGCAUUUAUACAGUGAAACUGCAGACGGCUCAUUAAAACAGUUAUGGUUUAUUUGGUGGUUACCUUGCUACUUGGAUAACUGUAGUAAUUCUGGAGCUAAUACAUGCUUAAGGGGCAACGUCACGAAGUCCUGUAUUUAUUAGAUUAAAGCCGGUCGUUUUCGGACGCAAUUGGUGAAUCAUGAUAAUUAAUCUGAUCGCUGGCCUUCCGCCAGCGACGUGCCAUUCAAAUUUCUGCCCUAUCAUGCUUUAGAUGAUAGGAUAUGGGCCUAUCAUGGCGGUGACGGGUGACGGAGAAUUAGGGUUCGAUUCCGGAGAGGGAGCCUGAGAAACGGCUACUACUUCUAAGGAAGGCAGCAGGCGCGCAAAUUACCUAAUCCUUAUUCAGGGAGGUAGUGACAAGAAAUAACAAUAGUUCGGCUUCUAGCCAGACUAAUUGGAAUGGGCACAACUUAAACAUCUUGACGAGAAACAAUUGGAGGGCAAGUCUGGUGCCAGCAGCCGCGGUAAUUCCAGCUCCAAUAGCGUAUACUAAAGUUGUUGCAGUUAAAAAGCUCGUAGUUGGAUUUCUGCUCGAGAGGAACGUCUGGCGUUAUUAACGUUUAGGCUGAGUUCUCGUGCAUCUGCUCACGAACCAUAUUGCUCUUAACUGAGUGACGUCGGGGAUUGAUUCAUUUACUUUGAGAAAAAUAAAGUGUUUAAAGCAGGUUUAUGCAUCUGAAUAAGUUAGCAUGGAAUAAUGAUAAAGGACUUUGGUACUAUUUGUUGGUGUUAGAAACUGAAGUAAUGAUUAAUAGGGACAGUUGGGGGCAUUAGUAUUCUGAAGCAAGAGGUGAAAUUCUAGGACCUUUGGAAGACUAACUGCUGCGAAAGCGUUUGCCAAGGAUGUUCCCUUUGAUCAAGAACGAAAGUUGGGGGAUCGAAGACGAUCAGAUACCGUCGUAGUCUCAACUAUAAACUAUACCAACUAGGGAUCAGCCGGCGUUUUUUUCAACGGGCCCGGUUGGCACCUUUUGAGAAAUCAAAGUAUUUGGGUUCCGGGGGGAGUAUGGUCGCAAGGCUGAAACUUAAAGGAAUUGACGGAAGGGCACCACCAGGUGUGGAGCCUGUGGCUUAAUUUUGACUCAACACGGGAAAACUUACCAGGUCCAGACAUAAUUAGGAUUGACAGAUUGAGAGCCCUUUCUUGAUUUUAUGGGUGGUGGUGCAUGGCCGUUCUUAGUUGGUGGAGUGAUUUGUCUGGUUAAUUCCGUUAACGAACGAGACCCCAGCCUGCUAAAUAGCGCACGUGUGCGUUUGCAUGCGGUGAGCUUCUUAGAGGGACCAUAGCUCGCAAUACAGUCCAGGGAAGUUUGGGGCAAUAACAGGUCUGUGAUGCCCUUAGAUGUUCUGGGCCGCACACGGGCUACAUUGAUGCAUGCAAUGAGCAUAUCAGCUGGCUAUAAAUAGUCUUUGGCUAACCUUUUGAACUUGCAUCGUACUAGGGAUUGACUAUUGUAAUUGUUAGUCAUGCAACGAGGAAUAUCUUGUAAAUAUGAGUCAUCAACUCACAUUGAAUAUGUCCCUGCCCUUUGUACACACCGCCCGUCGCUCCUACCGAUGAAUGUUCCGAUGAAAUUUUUAGAGGGGUUUUAUAAUCUGGGUUUACCCGGACGUCCGAAAUCGCAAAAUUGUUUAAAUCUGAAUAUUUCGAGGAAGGAGAAGUCGUAACAAGGUUUUCGUAGGUGAACCUGCAGAAGGAUC